GACGAACGCUGGCGGCGUGCCUAAUACAUGCAAGUAGAACGCUGAAGGAGGAGCUUGCUCUUUCCGGAUGAGUUGCGAACGGGUGAGUAACGCGUAGGUAACCUGCCUGGUAGCGGGGGAUAACUAUUGGAGACGAUAGCUAAUACCGCAUAAUAGCAGUUAUUGCAUGAUAACUGUUUGAAAGGUGCAAAUGCACCACUACCAGAUGGACCUGCGUUGUAUUAGCUAGUUGGUGAGGUAACGGCUCACCAAGGCGACGAUACAUAGCCGACCUGAGAGGGUGAUCGGCCACACUGGGACUGAGACACGGCCCAGACUCCUACGGGAGGCAGCAGUAGGGAAUCUUCGGCAAUAGACGGAAGUCUGACCGAGCAACGCCGCGUGAGUGAAGAAGGUUUUCGGAUCGUAAAGCUCUGUUGUAAGAGAAGAACGAGUGUGAGAGUGGAAAGUUCACACUGGACG
This 462-nucleotide ribosomal RNA is filed under the name Streptococcus mitis. RNAcentral's name for it is "bacterial SSU rRNA". It matches the Rfam family "Bacterial small subunit ribosomal RNA", at positions 28 to 474 of the family's 1533-position model. The record is from RNAcentral. Lineage: Bacteria; Bacillati; Bacillota; Bacilli; Lactobacillales; Streptococcaceae.